Molecule: ribosomal RNA, 793 nt
Filed under: uncultured cyanobacterium
Lineage: Bacteria; Bacillati; Cyanobacteriota
Description: bacterial SSU rRNA
Rfam family: Bacterial small subunit ribosomal RNA
Source: RNAcentral
GCUGGCGGCGUGCCUAACACAUGCAAGUCGAACGGGAAUCUUCGGAUUCUAGUGGCGGACGGGUGAGUAACGCGUAAGAAUCUAACUUCAGGACGGGGACAACAGUUGGAAACGACUGCUAAUACCCGAUGUGCCGCAAGGUGAAAACUAAUUGGCCUGAAGAAGAGCUUGCGUCUGAUUAGCUAGUUGGUGGGGUAAGAGCCUACCAAGGCGACGAUCAGUAGCUGGUCUGAGAGGAUGAGCAGCCACACUGGGACUGAGACACAGCCCAGACUCCUACGGGAGGCAGCAGUGGGGAAUUCUCCGCAAUGGGCGAAAGCCUGACGGAGCAACGCCGCGUGAGGGAGGAAGGUCUCUGGAUUGUAAACCUCUUUUCUCAAGGAAGAAGUUCUGACGGUACUUGAGGAAUCAGCCUCGGCUAACUCCGUGCCAGCAGCCGCGGUAAUACGGGGGAGGCAAGCGUUAUCCGGAAUUAUUGGGCGUAAAGCGUCCGCAGGUGGUCAGCCAAGUCUGCCGUCAAAUCAGGUUGCUUAACGACCUAAAGGCGGUGGAAACUGGCAGACUAGAGAGCAGUAGGGGUAGCAGGAAUUCCCAGUGUAGCGGUGAAUGCGUAGAGAUUGGGAAGAACAUCGGUGGCGAAAGCGUGCUACUGGGCUGUAUCUGACACUCAGGGACGAAAGCUAGGGGACGAAAGGGAUUAGAUACCCCUGUAGUCCUAGCCGUAACGAUGGAUACUAGGCGUGGCUUGUAUCGACCCGAGCAGUGCCGAAGCUAACGCGUUAAGUAUCCGCCU